GGUAGUUUCAUCAUAGUUCAUUUGAAUUUUACUAAGGAAAGUGGUAUUGAGUAUUAUAGCUUACACUAGGAAGCUCUUGUUGGUACUUAAAUUUAUAGUAUUCACUGUUAACAUCUGUAUGUCAACACCCAAUUUUGAGAUUAUUUCUAGGGAAUUCAUUACGUUAUUAACAUGAGGAUUUAUAACCAGAGGUAGGCUUUAAAUCCUGGUUCAGUUCCUAACAGCCCUAAAGCAUUAAAACACAGUGCCUGUUUCAGCUACUCGAUUUCUCUUAGUGAAAAGCACUCAAGAAGUUAGGUUAAAGAAGGCUCAAAAAGAAGGACUAGAUUUUUUUUUAUAAUUGAUAAAAUUUCAAACUUAGGGAAAACUUGGUAGUACAAAAAACUAUCCUCUUCCCAUUCACCAAUUAUAUUUUGUUUCAUUUUUUUAAUGGUGUUUUCCCCAAAACAUUUGAAAGUAAGUUAGACAUCUUGCUGGUUUUGGGGGGGUUUUGUGGGUUUUUUUCCCUCUUCCCAAAUCCCCCCAGUACAUAGUUGUCUAUUCUAGUUGCGAGUGCCUCUGGUUAUGCCAUGUUGGGGCAGCGUCCCACAUGCCACAACUAGAAAGGACCUACAACUAAAACAAGAAAAAUCUACAUUUCAUCAGUUGUCCUAUCAUGUUCUUUAUUUUUCCAUUCAUCCAGGAUCAGUUGCUGCAUUUUGUUGUCAUUGCUCUUUGAUCUUUAAUCUGGAGCAGGUCCUCAACCUUUUUCUUGACCUUGUCAUUUUCAAAUAGCAAAGGACAGGUAUUUUAUAGGAUUUCCCUCAAUUUGUGUUUGAUAUCUCCUCAUGCUGGCAUUUUUGGCGGGAAUAUCACAAGAAUGAGACUCUCCUCGAUGCAUCAUUUCUAGUGGCACGUUGUAAUAGUAAUCUGGAUCACAAUAAAGUCACUUUUUCCCUUUGUAAUCAGUAAUUUGGGGGAUAACUAGAGUCUGUUAAAUACCCAGUUCUUUAUCAAACCAUCACCCACUAUUAACAUUUAUUGUUGAUUUUCUCACUUCUAUUCAGUGGUAUUCUGCUGUAAGGAAGUGCUUUCUGUGGGAGGGUAGACUGUUGUAAAGGUAAGGUCAAAAGAAAGGGUUUUGUUUUUAGGAGGGGAGGGAGCUGGCCAUUUUGGAGUUUGAGAAAGCUGCUGAGGGAGAGCUUUGAUGGCAGUCAGACUGUGCACCAUUACCACUGAAAGUAGGACGAUUCCCCUACCCCGGGGCUAAAGAGGAAGUGAGAAGCAACUUUUACGUAGAUGAGAGGAAUAUGCAAUAGAAAGUAAGCUAUGUCCUCGUCUAUAAAAUAGUGCCUUGUGAUAUUGUUGUGGGGAGUAAAUGCUAUUAACAAAGCGCUUGGCACAUCACUUGUUAUAGUAGCUGCCUUUAUUAAAACAUUCUCUAAGUAGAAUAGUCAAACCGUAAUAUUCUUCUGGCCAACUGAGAAAAAGGAAGGCAAAGCAGAAUUGCUGAAUAUGGUGCCCAGCUAUUAGAGUAAUAUCUACUACUCUUAGUUUCUCAUCAUUCGUGACCAGCCUUGAGUGUACUAUUUAAAUACAUUGCUGUUUUAUUAUGCUAAAUUUCAAACACUAGCUAGAGAAUAGUAUGGUGAACCACCCAUGUACUCAUCCAGCUUUAACAAUGUCUAUGUGCCUAUCCACUUUGUUUUCCAGAUAACUAUGAAAGAAAUUCUAGACAUUUCAGCUCAAGAUAUUUCAAUGUAUACCUCUGAAAAACAUGUUGUGUCCUUAAUCUAUAGAGUCUCCUUUUUUUUCCAUUGUGAUGUAUUUGUUGAGGUUAACUGUUGAGUAGUUGCCUAGUCUUGAUUUUGCUGAUUGCAUUCUCAUGGUGUCAUUUAGUGUGGUGUUCUGUCCCCUGCAUUUCCUGUAAAUUGAUAGAUGUAGAGCAAUGGUUCUCAAAGUGUGGCUCCUGGGCCAAUAGCAUCAGCAUCUCAUGGGACCUUGUUAGAAGUGCAUUUUCUCAAAUCCCAUCCCAGACUCACUGAGUCAGAAACAGUAAGUGGAGCCCAGCCAUAGGUGUGUGUUUGUUUAUUGGUGAGGAAAAUGGCCCUGAGCUAACAUCUGUGCCAGCCUUCUUCUGUUUUGUAUUUGGGACACCACCAUAGUGUGGCUUGAUGAGUAGUGUGUAGGUCCAUGCCCAGGAUCCAAACCUGUGAACCCUGGGCCACUGAAGCUGAGUGCUCAAACUUAACCACUAUGCCACCAGGCCAACCCCAGCCCUAGAUCUUUUAAGAAGCCUUCCAGGUGAUUCUGGCGCAUGCUAAAAUUUGAGACCCAUUGUUCUAGAGGCUCUAUCAGAUUGCAGUUUUUUUUUUUUUUUUUUUUGGUCAUCUUGGCAGCCAUUGGUGAUUUUGCCUAGAUCCAUUAAACCAUGAACCCAUGAUUGUAAACAUUUUUUUCAUUCUAUUGCAGUUCUCCUUAUUGAUAUUGCCUUAGUCUGUCUUUGGUCACUGGGAGUCAAAGUGCCUCCUGAGUUCUUUUCAAACAACCCUAAUAAUCUUACCAGCUUCCUUGCUUUCUGGUAUGGUGAGACAUCCAGACUCAUCUUUCUAGUCCCAGACCUAGAAUCAGCCAUUUUCCCAACAAGCCAUAGUUAUUUUUAUUUGGAAAUGAUAUUUAGCAACCACAGUCUGGGCCCUUGGGUUGUUCAUUGCAGCUAGUUUGGUCUCUCUCAGGCCAUACAGAUCAUGUUAUUUUCUGCUCUUGCGAAGGUCCUCUCCAAGUUAAACAUCCCCUCAACCCUGCUUGCAGCAGUUCUGAAUCCCCUGACUCUCUCAGUUGUCUUCCUGUACUGUGAUUUGAACUUUGGCCUCCUUGCCCUAAUAGAUGCUC
Molecule: long non-coding RNA, 2871 nt
Filed under: Equus asinus (donkey)
Lineage: Eukaryota; Metazoa; Chordata; Mammalia; Perissodactyla; Equidae
Description: lncRNA (ENSEASG00005028509.1)
Source: RNAcentral